AAACAUCUUUUCUUGAUAUUUAUUUGAGAUUUGACCUGCCCAAUGAUAAUUUAUUUAAUGGCCGCAGUAUUUCUGACUGUGCAAAGGUAGCAUAAUCAUUAGUUCAUUAAUUGUGGACUUGUAUGAAUGGUUGGACGAAAUAUUAACUGUCUUUUAUUUAAGAUUAGAAUUUAAAUUUUUAGUUAAAAUGCUUAAAUUUUAUUAUUGGACGAGAAGACCCUAUAGAUCUUUAUUUUAAUUUUUAUUAAUUGUUUUAGUUUAUUUGUUGUUAAUAGUUUUUAUUAUUUUGUUGGGGUGACAUUGAGAUUUAAUUAACUCUUUAUAUUAGUAUACAAUUAUUUUUGUUUAUAUGACCUUAUUUUAAUGUUAUAAGAUUAGAUACCUUAGGGAUAACAGCGUAAUUUUCUUUGAGAGUUCAUAUCGACAGGAAAGAUUGCGACCUCGAUGUUGGAUUAAGAUUAUAUUUAGGUGUAGUAGCUUGAAUAUUAGGUCUGUUCGACCUUUAAAUUCUUACAUGAUCUGA
This 523-nucleotide ribosomal RNA is filed under the name Sipyloidea sipylus. RNAcentral describes it as "partial 16S ribosomal RNA". It matches the Rfam family "Bacterial large subunit ribosomal RNA", at positions 1811 to 2608 of the family's 2925-position model. The record is from RNAcentral. Lineage: Eukaryota; Metazoa; Arthropoda; Insecta; Phasmatodea; Lonchodidae.